GACGAACGCUGGCGGCGUGCCUAAUACAUGCAAGUCGAACGGGGUUGCACGGCGGAAGCCUUCGGGUGGAAGCUGUGCAGCCUAGUGGCGGACGGGUGAGUAACGCGUGGGCAACCUGCCCUCCAGCCCGGGAUAACUUCCGGAAACGGGAGCUAAUCCCGGAUGCGGAGCAAAGGACGCAUGUUUUUUGCUCGAAAGCUUCGGCGCUGGAGGAUGGGCCCGCGUCCCAUUAGCUAGUUGGUGAGGUAACGGCUCACCAAGGCGACGAUGGGUAGCCGGCCUGAGAGGGUGAUCGGCCACACUGGGACUGAGACACGGCCCAGACUCCUACGGGAGGCAGCAGUAGGGAAUCUUGCGCAAUGGGCGAAAGCCUGACGCAGCGACGCCGCGUGAGGGAAGAAGGCCUUCGGGUCGUAAACCUCUGUCCUUGGGGACGAUGAUGACGGUACCCAAGGAGGAAGCCCCGGCUAACUACGUGCCAGCAGCCGCGGUAAUACGUAGGGGGCGAGCGUUGUCCGGAAUCACUGGGCGUAAAGGGUGCGUAGGCGGCUUGGCAAGUCCUGUGUGAAAGGUCGCGGCUCAACCGCGGUGGGUCAUGGGAAACUGCCAAGCUCGAGUGCCGGAGAGGAUAGCGGAAUUCCCGGUGUAGCGGUGAAAUGCGUAGAGAUCGGGAGGAACACCAGUGGCGAAGGCGGCUAUCUGGAAGGUCACUGACGCUGAGGCACGACAGCUGGGGGAGCAAACAGGAUUAGAUACCCUGGUAGUCCCAGCCGUAAACGAUGAGUGCUAGGUGUUGCGGGUAUCGACCCCUGCAGUGCCGAAGUCAACACAAUAAGCACUCCGCCUGGGGAGUACGGCCGCAAGGCUGA
Molecule: ribosomal RNA, 869 nt
Filed under: uncultured compost bacterium
Lineage: Bacteria
Description: bacterial SSU rRNA
Rfam family: Bacterial small subunit ribosomal RNA
Source: RNAcentral